AUCCAAUUGACAAGUCCCAAAAUAGGACGAAACGUGUGUCAAACUGGAU
RNAcentral lists this non-coding RNA (49 nucleotides) under Schistosoma margrebowiei. The record is from RNAcentral. Lineage: Eukaryota; Metazoa; Platyhelminthes; Trematoda; Strigeidida; Schistosomatidae.